Long non-coding RNA from Herpailurus yagouaroundi (jaguarundi), 884 nucleotides. RefSeq lists it as uncharacterized. NCBI's taxonomy places the organism in Eukaryota, Metazoa, Chordata, Mammalia, Carnivora, Felidae. The transcript has 3 exons. The record is from RefSeq and is a predicted model, not a curated record.
AGGCAUAGGUUCAUGCUGCUGGAUGUUUAAUUUUGAGUCUAGAAAGAGCAAGUGCACAAUGGGAAGUCCUAACUUAUCUUCUCUCACCUCAUUGAUUUUUCAGUGAAUAGAUCAUGAACGAUUCCCACCUCAUUCAUAAUAUCUGUGUCACAGUCACCUCACUUGUCAUAAGGACAUAAAAAUGAAUUAAGCACUGGAGAAACAGUACCAUGUGGAGUGUGUCCUAAGGAACAUGACAGAUGGAGCCGCCAUUGACUGAGAUGAGGAAGACGUUCAGGCCUUUCCUAUUAAAGUGAUAAAUGCUUACAAAACAGAUAUCCAGCUACAUAACCAAGCAGAUUGAAUGGGACUGGGGGACAUUUCACAACAGUGAUUUUGAUUCUUCAAACUUUUGGAGACAAAACAACUUUCAGAUGAAGAAUGAAAUUUGAAGCCAGAAUAGCAUGCAAUGAAAAACAUUUUAAAUCCAUGCCUUCUUUUUGAAGUUGUAUCUUUUUUGGAUGCUCAAGAGUGAGUUGGAUUUGCAGCCACAAAUCAAAUGUUCAGAAAUCCUUGGCUGUCUGAGCCUGGCGGCCCUCAUCCAGCCAGCUGGACGAUAAAACACCUGGGUUGAUUCUAUUUAUUCUGGAGGGGAGGAGCAAGGCUGUGCAAAACAACAUGAAGAAAGACUCGCCUAUGCAAAAUUGCAAUGUAUCUAAAAUUUCGUUGUCUUCUCAUUGUCCUUGUGGUAUCUGUUCUUCCUUGGUCUUUUACAUGUUCCCAGUGCCCCCCAUUUGGAGAGUCCAGAGUGAUGCUCCUUGAUCAGAGGUCAGUGUAUCACCUCAUUGCCUUGUUUUAGGGUUUGUCAACCCCGCCACUCAUACAAACGUGUUACCUUUGCCACU